RNAcentral lists this ribosomal RNA (468 nucleotides) under uncultured bacterium. RNAcentral describes it as "partial 16S ribosomal RNA". It matches the Rfam family "Bacterial small subunit ribosomal RNA", at positions 28 to 507 of the family's 1533-position model. The record is from RNAcentral.
GACGAACGCUGGCGGCGUGCUUAACACAUGCAAGUCGAACGGAAAGGCCCUGCUUUUGUGGGGUGCUCGAGUGGCGAACGGGUGAGUAACACGUGAGUAACCUGCCCUUGACUUUGGGAUAACUUCAGGAAACUGGGGCUAAUACCGGAUCGGAGCUCCUGCUGCAUGGAGGGGGUGGGAAAGUUUCGGCGGUUGGGGAUGGACGCGCGGCUUAUCAGCUUGUUGGGGGGGUAGUGGCUUACCAAGGCUUUGACGGGUAGCCGGCCUGAGAGGGGGACCGGCCACAUGGGGACUGAGAUACGGCCCAGACUCCUACGGGAGGCAGCAGUGGGGAAUAUUGCACAAUGGGCGGAAGCCUGAUGCAGCAACGCCGCGUGCGGGAUGACGGCCUUCGGGUUGUAAACCGCUUUCGCCUGUGACGAAGCGUGAGUGACGGUAAUGGGUAAAGAAGCACCGGCUAACUACGUG